CUCGGAGAGGGGGGCUGCUCAGCCCAGAUUGUGACAGGGUGCAGGCCAGGCUGAGGGACUCCACUGGUGCAUG
Molecule: microRNA precursor, 73 nt
Filed under: Myotis davidii
Lineage: Eukaryota; Metazoa; Chordata; Mammalia; Chiroptera; Vespertilionidae
Description: mir-9193 microRNA precursor family
Rfam family: mir-9193 microRNA precursor family
Source: Rfam by way of RNAcentral